This 1372-nucleotide ribosomal RNA is filed under the name uncultured bacterium. Its description in RNAcentral is "bacterial SSU rRNA". It matches the Rfam family "Bacterial small subunit ribosomal RNA", at positions 28 to 1381 of the family's 1533-position model. The record is from RNAcentral.
GAUGAACGCUGGCGGCGUGCCUAAUACAUGCAAGUCGAGCGAACGGACGAGAAGCUUGCUUCUCUGAUGUUAGCGGCGGACGGGUGAGUAACACGUGGAUAACCUACCUAUAAGACUGGGAUAACUUCGGGAAACCGGAGCUAAUACCGGAUAAUAUUUUGAUCUGCAUGGUUCAAAAGUAAAAGACGGUCUUGCUGUCACUUAUAGAUGGAUCCGCGCUGCAUUAGCUAGUUGGUAAGGUAACGGCUUACCAAGGCAACGAUGCAUAGCCGACCUGAGAGGGUGAUCGGCCACACUGGAACUGAGACACGGUCCAGACUCCUACGGGAGGCAGCAGUAGGGAAUCUUCCGCAAUGGGCGAAAGCCUGACGGAGCAACGCCGCGUGAGUGAUGAAGGUCUUCGGAUCGUAAAACUCUGUUAUUAGGGAAGAACAUAUGUGUAAGUAACUGUGCACAUCUUGACGGUACCUAAUCAGAAAGCCACGGCUAACUACGUGCCAGCAGCCGCGGUAAUACGUAGGUGGCAAGCGUUAUCCGGAAUUAUUGGGCGUAAAGCGCGCGUAGGCGGUUUUUUAAGUCUGAUGUGAAAGCCCACGGCUCAACCGUGGAGGGUCAUUGGAAACUGGAAAACUUGAGUGCAGAAGAGGAAAGUGGAAUUCCAUGUGUAGCGGUGAAAUGCGCAGAGAUAUGGAGGAACACCAGUGGCGAAGGCGACUUUCUGGUCUGUAACUGACGCUGAUGUGCGAAAGCGUGGGGAUCAAACAGGAUUAGAUACCCUGGUAGUCCACGCCGUAAACGAUGAGUGCUAAGUGUUAGGGGGUUUCCGCCCCUUAGUGCUGCAGCUAACGCAUUAAGCACUCCGCCUGGGGAGUACGACCGCAAGGUUGAAACUCAAAGGAAUUGACGGGGACCCGCACAAGCGGUGGAGCAUGUGGUUUAAUUCGAAGCAACGCGAAGAACCUUACCAAAUCUUGACAUCCUUUGACAACUCUAGAGAUAGAGCCUUCCCCUUCGGGGGACAAAGUGACAGGUGGUGCAUGGUUGUCGUCAGCUCGUGUCGUGAGAUGUUGGGUUAAGUCCCGCAACGAGCGCAACCCUUAAGCUUAGUUGCCAUCAUUAAGUUGGGCACUCUAAGUUGACUGCCGGUGACAAACCGGAGGAAGGUGGGGAUGACGUCAAAUCAUCAUGCCCCUUAUGAUUUGGGCUACACACGUGCUACAAUGGACAAUACAAAGGGCAGCGAAACCGCGAGGUCAAGCAAAUCCCAUAAAGUUGUUCUCAGUUCGGGUUGUAGUCUGCAACUCGACUACAUGAAGCUGGAAUCGCUAGUAAUCGUAGAUCAGCAUGCUACGGUGAAUACGUUCCCGGGUCU